GGCCCUGUGGUGUAGUGGUUAACACGUCAGCCGUAUAAGCUGAAGACGUUGGUUCGAAUCCUUUUUUUAUUU
Non-coding RNA from Caenorhabditis elegans, 72 nucleotides. The record is from the annotation of a RefSeq genome assembly. Lineage: Eukaryota; Metazoa; Nematoda; Chromadorea; Rhabditida; Rhabditidae.